RNAcentral lists this ribosomal RNA (461 nucleotides) under Halopseudomonas pelagia. RNAcentral describes it as "bacterial SSU rRNA". It matches the Rfam family "Bacterial small subunit ribosomal RNA", at positions 93 to 550 of the family's 1533-position model. Lineage: Bacteria; Pseudomonadati; Pseudomonadota; Gammaproteobacteria; Pseudomonadales; Pseudomonadaceae. The record is from RNAcentral.
GAGCGGCGGACGGGUGAGUAAUACCUGGGAAUCUGCCUGAUAGUGGGGGAUAACGUUCGGAAACGGACGCUAAUACCGCAUACGUCCUACGGGAGAAAGCAGGGGAUCUUCGGACCUUGCGCUAUCAGAUGAGCCCAGGUCGGAUUAGCUUGUUGGUGAGGUAACGGCUCACCAAGGCUGCGAUCCGUAACUGGUCUGAGAGGAUGAUCAGUCACACUGGAACUGAGACACGGUCCAGACUCCUACGGGAGGCAGCAGUGGGGAAUAUUGGACAAUGGGGGAAACCCUGAUCCAGCCAUGCCGCGUGUGUGAAGAAGGUCUUCGGAUUGUAAAGCACUUUAAGUUGGGAGGAAGGGCUGAUGCUUAAUACGUAUCAGUCUUGACGUUACCGACAGAAUAAGCACCGGCUAACUCUGUGCCAGCAGCCGCGGUAAUACAGAGGGUGCAAGCGUUAAUCGGAA